GGUUAUUGCUGGACAAAUCCAGAUAUUCAAGACUAGACAGUUUCCAGAAAGUUUCGUUGUCCAUUCCUUCAUUAGUCAAGUAGUUAUUCUGUAAGUACAGCUCCCGCAGGCCUGUAAGUUCACUGAAGGCUCCUUUGGGAAUCUUCUCUAGCUUGUUGUUCUUUAAAUGCAAUUUGUAUAAUGCUGGAGGGAGAUUCUUCGGAACAUAUUUCAGGAAAUUGCUGGAC
Molecule: long non-coding RNA, 227 nt
Filed under: Gallus gallus (chicken)
Lineage: Eukaryota; Metazoa; Chordata; Aves; Galliformes; Phasianidae
Source: RNAcentral